AGUUUGAUCCUGGCUCAGAACGAACGCUGGCGGCAGGCCUAAUACAUGCAAGUCGAGCGCAUCCUUCGGGAUGAGCGGCGGACGGGUGAGUAACGCGUGGGAAUAUGCCCUUCUCUAAGGAAUAGCCUCGGGAAACUGAGAGUAAUACCUUAUACGCCCUUCGGGGGAAAGAUUUAUCGGAGAAGGAUUAGCCCGCGUUAGAUUAGGUAGUUGGUGGGGUAAUGGCCUACCAAGCCUACGAUCUAUAGCUGGUUUGAGAGGAUGAUCAGCCACACUGGGACUGAGACACGGCCCAGACUCCUACGGGAGGCAGCAGUAGGGAAUCUUAGACAAUGGGGGAAACCCUGAUCUAGCCAUGCCGCGUGUGUGAUGAAGGCCUUAGGGUCGUAAAGCACUUUCGCCAGAGAUGAUAAUGACAGUAUCUGGUAAAGAAACCCCGGCUAACUCCGUGCCAGCAGCCGCGGUAAUACGGAGGGGGUUAGCGUUGUUCGGAAUUACUGGGCGUAAAGCGCACGUAGGCGGAUUAGUAAGUUAGAGGUGAAAUCCCAGGGCUCAACCCUGGAACUGCCUUUAAUACUGCUAGUCUUGAGUUCGAGAGAGGUAAGUGGAAUUCCRAGUGUAGAGGUGAAAUUCGUAGAUAUUYGGAGGAACACCAGUGGCGAAGGCGGCUUACUGGCUCGAUACUGACGCUGAGGUGCGAAAGUGUGGGGAGCAAACAGGAUUAGAUACCCUGGUAGUCCACACCGUAAACGAUGAAUGCCAGACGUCAGCAAGUAUACUU
Molecule: ribosomal RNA, 781 nt
Filed under: uncultured Paracoccaceae bacterium
Lineage: Bacteria; Pseudomonadati; Pseudomonadota; Alphaproteobacteria; Rhodobacterales; Paracoccaceae
Description: bacterial SSU rRNA
Rfam family: Bacterial small subunit ribosomal RNA
Source: RNAcentral